AGUGAACGCUGGCGGUAGGCCUAACACAUGCAAGUCGAACGGCAGCACAGUAAGAGCUUGCUCUUACGGGUGGCGAGUGGCGGACGGGUGAGGAAUACAUCGGAAUCUACUUUUUCGUGGGGGAUAACGUAGGGAAACUUACGCUAAUACCGCAUACGACCUACGGGUGAAAGCAGGGGAUCUUCGGACCUUGCGCGAUUGAAUGAGCCGAUGUCGGAUUAGCUAGUUGGCGGGGUAAAGGCCCACCAAGGCGACGAUCCGUAGCUGGUCUGAGAGGAUGAUCAGCCACACUGGAACUGAGACACGGUCCAGACUCCUACGGGAGGCAGCAGUGGGGAAUAUUGGACAAUGGGCGCAAGCCUGAUCCAGCCAUACCGCGUGGGUGAAGAAGGCCUUCGAGUUGUGAAGCCCUUUUGUUGGGAAAGAAAAGCAGCAGGUUAAUACCCCGCUGUUCUGACGGUACCCAAAGAAUAAGCACCGGCUAACUUCGUG
Molecule: ribosomal RNA, 492 nt
Filed under: uncultured bacterium
Lineage: Bacteria
Description: partial 16S ribosomal RNA
Rfam family: Bacterial small subunit ribosomal RNA
Source: RNAcentral